RNAcentral lists this ribosomal RNA (465 nucleotides) under uncultured bacterium. RNAcentral's name for it is "partial 16S ribosomal RNA". It matches the Rfam family "Bacterial small subunit ribosomal RNA", at positions 338 to 795 of the family's 1533-position model. The record is from RNAcentral.
CCUACGGGAGGCAGCAGUGGGGAAUAUUGCGCAAUGGUCGAAAGCCUGACGCAGCGACGCCGCGUGAGGGAUGAAGGUCUUCGGAUCGUAAACCUCUGUCAGCAGGGAAGAACGGUCACUGUGCUAAUCAGCAGUGAAUUGACGGUACCUGCAAAGGAAGCACCGGCUAACGCCGUGCCAGCAGCCGCGGUAAUACGGAGGGUGCGAGCGUUAAUCGGAAUUACUGGGCGUAAGGCGCUCGUAGGCGGUAUGUCAAGUCAAGGGUGAAAUCCCCGGGCUCAACGUGGGAACUGCCGUUGAAACUGGCAAACUGGAGUGUGUGAGAGGAUAGUGGAAUUCCAGGUGUAGGAGUGAAAUCCGUAGAUAUCUGGAGGAACAUCAGUGGCGAAGGCGACUAUCUGGAACAUAACUGACGCUGAGGAGCGAAAGCGUGGGUAGCAAACAGGAUUAGAUACCCUAGUAGUC